This is a long non-coding RNA of Mastomys coucha (southern multimammate mouse), 623 nucleotides long. RefSeq lists it as uncharacterized. The record is from RefSeq and is a predicted model, not a curated record. Lineage: Eukaryota; Metazoa; Chordata; Mammalia; Rodentia; Muridae. The transcript is spliced from 2 exons.
AUUUCUUGAUAAUAUAUGGAGAGUUACCUUUUUGCUAUCUGAAGGUUGCUCUGAGAACAAACUGAAAUGCCCUCAAUCAGAGAAUCUUCUUCAGCUUUGAUGAGUAUUUUUAUUAUUACCCAAGAUCUGGUUAAAAAAAAAAAACUAAAAAUAUGAAAGGUACUCCUUCCUCUGAGUUCUGGAGCAGAUUCUUGAGAGUGACAGGAUAUAUGACUAAACAGACAGACCUCAUUGUGGGUUAUGACACAAGCAUGCUGAAACAUGUCAGACUUGCACAGGACAACAGACCACCAUGAAUAAAGUCUUCACAUGAGGCAUGCCAGUAAGAGAACAAAGAAUGCUAAGUGAAUGGAGGCAGUGGUGUUGUAGCCUCCAAGGAAGCGGCUUUUGGUAGCAUGAAGCACCAAGUGAUUUUUUCCGGUGACUGCAGAUGGACAUUGCUGCCACAUGUUCUAUCUAGAAAAGGUCACUAGUUCAGUAGUGAAUGACAGGAAAAUCUGCCUAGGAUGUCAUGUGUCCCUUCUUUAGGGUUCAAAGCCACUUGAGAAUGAAUAGGUCAGAAAAGCAUGCUAGAUAAUGUUGGAUAAUAUUUAAAAACUACCAAAUCCAGGAAAAGAUGUCAA